GGCAAGAUGGCCGAGCGGUCCAAGGCGUGUGACUCAAGCGAAAGCUUGCCUGCUCAACGCGGGUCUUCUCAUCAGGGUUUCCUGGCAUGGGUUCGAAUCCCAUUCUUGUCA
Molecule: transfer RNA, 111 nt
Filed under: Wolfiporia cocos MD-104 SS10
Lineage: Eukaryota; Fungi; Basidiomycota; Agaricomycetes; Polyporales; Phaeolaceae
Description: Wolfiporia cocos (strain MD-104) (brown rot fungus) tRNA
Rfam family: tRNA
About the family: Transfer RNA (tRNA) molecules are approximately 80 nucleotides in length. Their secondary structure includes four short double-helical elements and three loops (D, anti-codon, and T loops). Further hydrogen bonds mediate the characteristic L-shaped molecular structure. tRNAs have two regions of fundamental functional importance: the anti-codon, which is responsible for specific mRNA codon recognition, and the 3' end, to which the tRNAs corresponding amino acid is attached (by aminoacyl-tRNA synthetases). tRNAs cope with the degeneracy of the genetic code in two manners: having more than one tRNA (with a specific anti-codon) for a particular amino acid; and 'wobble' base-pairing, i.e. permitting non-standard base-pairing at the 3rd anti-codon position.
Source: Rfam by way of RNAcentral